UNUGACUUGAGUGCAGAAGGGGAGAGUGGAAUUCCANGUGUAGCGGUGAAAUGCGUAGAUAUAUGGAGGAACACCAGUGGCGAAAGCGGCUCUCUGGUCUGUCACUGACGCUGAGGCUCGAAAGCGUGGGUAGCGAACAGGAUUAGAUACCCUGGUAGUNCACGCCGUAAACGAUGAGUGCUAGGUGUUAGGCCCUUUCCGGGGCUUAGUGCCGGAGCUAACGCAAUAAGCACUCCGCUUGGGGAGUACGACCGCAAGGUUGAAACUCAAAGGAAUUGACGGGGGCCCGCACAAGCGGUGGAGCAUGUGGUUUAAUUCGAAGCAACGCGAAGAACCUUACCAGGUCUUGACAUCCCGAUGCUAUUCUUAGAGAUAGGAAGUUACUUCGGUACAUCGGAGACAGGUGGUGCAUGGUUGUCGUCAGCUCGUGUCGUGAGAUGUUGGGUUAAGUCCCGCAACGAGCGCAACCCUUAUUGUUAGUUGCCAUCAUUAAGUUGGGCACUCUAGCGAGACUGCCGGUAAUAAACCGGAGGAAGGUGGGGAUGACGUCAAAUCAUCAUGCCCCUUAUGACCUGGGCUACACACGUGCUACAAUGGUCGGUACAACGAGUUGCGAGCCGGUGACGGCAAGCUAAUCUCUGAAAGCCGAUCUCAGUUCGGAUUGGAGGCUGCAACUCGCCUCCAUGAAGUCGGAAUCGCUAGUAAUCGCGGAUCAGCACGCCGCGGUGAAUACGUUCCCGGGCCUUGUACACACCGCCCGUCACACCACGAGAGUUUGUAACACCCGAAGUCGGUGAGGUAACCUCUUAGGGGCCAGCCGCCUAAGGUGGGANGGAUGAU
Molecule: ribosomal RNA, 840 nt
Filed under: uncultured bacterium
Lineage: Bacteria
Description: bacterial SSU rRNA
Rfam family: Bacterial small subunit ribosomal RNA
Source: RNAcentral